Molecule: long non-coding RNA, 795 nt
Organism: Ailuropoda melanoleuca (giant panda)
Lineage: Eukaryota; Metazoa; Chordata; Mammalia; Carnivora; Ursidae
Exons: 6
Source: RefSeq, a predicted model, not a curated record
UUCUGUGAACCUGGAAGGCAUGUGGGCCUUCGUUCCCAUAUCUUUAAAAUGAGAAGGUUGGAUGGCACGAUUCCUCUAGAUGGCUUAAUGUUCCAAGAUGCUAUGAAAUGGGAUCAGAGGUUGUCUUGGUAAUCUUGCGGCACUACAAGACUAAGUUAGGUGAGUUCUUGCCCUGGAGAAGCUUAAAUUCUGGUGGAGAAGGCAGACCAUGGACAGGCGAAUGAACACACCCAUGAUACUAUUCGGGCAGAGCCCAGUGUGAACACCAAAGAAGACUGGAGCCCAGCUGCUUUUCUCAAGAUUCUAACACUGCAGUGGGGCCCACAAAUAUUUAUAAUUCAGAAGGCUCCACAGGUUGUUUCCAGUACCCGAAGGGUGUAACAAGGGAUGCACACAUAGACCCUCAGCCCAGAUGAGGAGACAUGACUAACCCGUAGAAAAGGACGUCCAGAUGAUGGAGCUGAAUGUGGGGGUGCCUGCCGCAGUCCAGAGGCCCAGUGGUGGUUCCCUGAGAGGGAGCAAGAGCGGAGAAGUGGUGCUAUUUUCUAUCACCCAAAUUGCUGGAAUGAUACCAAGCUGGAAGACAAGAUACAGUGAAGGCUCGAAAUGCUCUCAGAAGGUUAGAACAAUGGACAUAGUUAAACGUGGUGGCACUAAGAAUAUGUGGACAUAAACGACCAGCUUCGGGGGCGCCUGGGUGACUCAGUUGGUUAAGCAUCUGCCUUUGGCUCAGGUCAUGAUCCCGGGUUCCUGGGAUUGUUUGGGGGGAGGGUCCCUGCUCAGCGGGGAAUCUGC